AUGCAAAUUUUAUAGCUCGGUGCAAAAGUUAUUGUGGUUUUUGCCAUUAAUGGAGAAUUUUGCUGCAAUUACUUUUGCACCAGCCUAAUACAUAUUUAUUGUGUACAUA
RNAcentral lists this microRNA precursor (109 nucleotides) under Chlorocebus sabaeus (green monkey). RNAcentral's name for it is "miRNA (ENSCSAG00000021435.1)". Lineage: Eukaryota; Metazoa; Chordata; Mammalia; Primates; Cercopithecidae. The record is from RNAcentral.